Pelobates cultripes (western spadefoot toad) is the source of this 226-nucleotide non-coding RNA. Lineage: Eukaryota; Metazoa; Chordata; Amphibia; Anura; Pelobatidae. The record is from the annotation of a GenBank genome assembly.
CUGCCCAGUAUUUAUGCAGGUUUCCCACCUGGUGGACACUCCCCUAGGGGACCAGUUGGGAGACUGUGACAAGGGACAGACAUGUAUCAAUGACAGACAUACAAGGGGUAAAACAUUCCCAGGAUACACUGCGUUCCCGCCUCUCUGUCCUGGGGACAAUUGGGAAGUAAUUCAAUUAUCUCCCAGGACAGAGGCAAAUUGCCAUUACCCACAAGCUGACAACAGG